AACCACUGUAACUUCAGUUGCUGAAGGUUGUUGAGUAGCUCCAGAUCAGAAAAAAUGAACCAGUGUCACUCCGGAGCUCUCAGUGUGCUGCGUGUGGACUGAAAGACAUCAACAGCCCACAUGUGGGAAGGCCAGCUUCUCUUCCCUUCUUGCCAGCAUGCCUCACUCCUCCAUUUAGUCACUGGACUUGCAGGUGUGUUGAGUGAAAUCAACUCAUAUUAACUGUAUGUGUCAACUACUUCUGAAGAAAGACUGUUAAAAAGAAGGAGUUGGAUUGAAAAGUAGAACAGCUGAAAUUCAACUCAUUGUCAUGGCAAUCAAUUUUUGCUCAGCUUCCUGUGUUCUCUGUGCUCUGAAAGAAGCCGUGUCUGCAAGGUGUGACUCCGUUUUCUCAUCUGAGAGAUGAAGACACUAAUCUUUCUGCUCUCCCAGGUGAAGUUGGAUGCUAACCUCAUUGGAUUCUAUGAAAGCCAUAGGUAAUUUGGAGAUGAGAGCAACAGAAAGCUCUAUAAAUAAGAUAAAAUAAACUUCUUGAAGGAAGCA
RNAcentral lists this long non-coding RNA (543 nucleotides) under Cyanistes caeruleus (blue tit). Its description in RNAcentral is "lncRNA (ENSCCEG00000011699.1)". The record is from RNAcentral. Lineage: Eukaryota; Metazoa; Chordata; Aves; Passeriformes; Paridae.